UGGGGAAUAUUGGACAAUGGGCGAAAGCCUGAUCCAGCAAUGCCGCGUGAGUGAUGAAGGCCUUAGGGUUGUAAAGCUCUUUUACCCGGGAUGAUAAUGACAGUACCGGGAGAAUAAGCCCCGGCUAACUCCGUGCCAGCAGCCGCGGUAAUACGGAGGGGGCUAGCGUUGUUCGGAAUUACUGGGCGUAAAGCGCACGUAGGCGGCUUUGUAAGUUAGAGGUGAAAGCCAGGGGCUCAACUCCGGAAUUGCCUUUAAGACUGCAUCGCUAGAAUUGUGGAGAGGUAAGUGGAAUUCCGAGUGUAGAGGUGAAAUUCGUAGAUAUUCGGAAGAACACCAGUGGCGAAGGCGACUUACUGGACACAUAUUGACGCUGAGGUGCGAAAGCGUGGGGAGCAAACA
Molecule: ribosomal RNA, 402 nt
Filed under: uncultured Sphingomonas sp.
Lineage: Bacteria; Pseudomonadati; Pseudomonadota; Alphaproteobacteria; Sphingomonadales; Sphingomonadaceae
Description: bacterial SSU rRNA
Rfam family: Bacterial small subunit ribosomal RNA
Source: RNAcentral